This 497-nucleotide ribosomal RNA is filed under the name uncultured bacterium. Its description in RNAcentral is "partial 16S ribosomal RNA". It matches the Rfam family "Bacterial small subunit ribosomal RNA", at positions 28 to 507 of the family's 1533-position model. The record is from RNAcentral.
GAUGAACGCUGGCGGCGUGCCUAAUACAUGCAAGUCGAGCGAACAGACGAGGAGCUUGCUCCUCUGACGUUAGCGGCGGACGGGUGAGUAACACGUGGAUAACCUACCUAUAAGACUGGGAUAACUUCGGGAAACCGUAGCUAAUACCGGAUAAUAUAUUGAACCGCAUGGUUCAAUAGUGAAAGACGGUUUUGCUGUCACUUAUAGAUGGAUCCGCGCUGCAUUAGCUAGUUGGUAAGGUAACGGCUUACCAAGGCAACGAUGCGUAGCCGACCUGAGAGGGUGAUCGGCCACACUGGAACUGAGACACGGUCCAGACUCCUACGGGAGGCAGCAGUAGGGAAUCUUCCGCAAUGGGCGAAAGCCUGACGGAGCAACGCCGCGUGAGUGAUGAAGGUCUUCGGAUCGUAAAACUCUGUUAUUAGGGAAGAACAAAUGUGUAAGUAACUAUGCACGUCUUGACGGUACCUAAUCAGAAAGCCACGGCUAACUACGUG